CCGGCCCGGCUCCGGCACGGCCGGGCCCUGCGGGGAGCGCUGAGGGCGGGCGGCAACAAGCUGUAAAAACAAUCCUUCCAGCAGGCCAGGAAAGAGCAAGAGUCCACAGGGUUUAAAAAAAGUGACAGGAAAAAUCCAUGGAAGAGAAAUCUCUUGAGGCUGUGAAAUAGAAAGACACCACCCUCUGAAGCUCCUGAAGUUUCAUAGCAUACUUUCCUUGAUUUUUAUGCUCUUCCCUGACAUCUGCUCUUGGUCAUUCUUGGUGAGAAAGGAAGAUUAAAAGAUUAGUUUUUGCUACAUUUGGCCUCAUCUGGAUUUUGUGAUAUUAAAGGCUGCCAGAUCUCCCGACUGGGUGAAGAGAACAUCAGAAGAGACUCUUCCUGAACCUCACCAAGCAGUGUGGCCUCAUAAUUUGGCUGUCCAGGCUGAAUGUCUCAAGGAAAGGCUCGUGCGCUAAGAGGAAAUAGUCCAGGUAGAUGCAGAAGACCUAAUUAUGGUCAACCUAACUGCCAGAAAUGGAGGAGUUGCUGUCAAAGUUGUUACAGCUACCUUCUGCAAGUAAGUAACUUUGCUGGAAGUGAAAAAGUGAUUGGCAGUGUCUCUGAGCGGCAUCACAGCGGCUCUAACUAGACAAACAGAAGAACUGUCAGACUGUAACGGUGGCCAGUGAGGAGGGGAGCUGAGAACGGUCAUGGAGGAUCAGUAGGAAAGCAUGGUGGGAUUAAUACAACCUGGAGACAUGGCCUAAACCUGCUGAUAACAUCAGAUUCAUAGUCACUGCCAGCUCACUCUCACUGCUGAUAUGCAGCAAGUGCAGAACAGCACUGAAAAUUGAAGUACUUAUCACUUUUAUUAAGUAAUGUGAGUCAAGACAUUUUUUAAUUGUGCACCACUUGCACAAAUUAUGAGGCAAUGUAUCAAUAAUAAUAUACUAUUUGGAAUAGUUGGAUUAAAAAUAUUUUAUUUGCAACUCCAUAAGGCUGCUGUUGUUUCUUAGUGAUUAAUGCAUGUAUUUUUAGUCCACACUGAGAAUUUAUAUACUUCUG
Long non-coding RNA from Lepidothrix coronata (blue-crowned manakin), 1046 nucleotides. RefSeq lists it as uncharacterized. NCBI's taxonomy places the organism in Eukaryota, Metazoa, Chordata, Aves, Passeriformes, Pipridae. The transcript has 8 exons. The record is from RefSeq and is a predicted model, not a curated record.